UCCGGCGCGCGAGCCCCCGGGGGCGGGUAAAACCCGGUUGCUGCUGCCCCUGCCCCUCCCUUUCCUCCUUAUCCCCCAUUACUAUUAUUUCCUCUUUUUUCAACCCCUCCCCCUUUUUACAAUCUCAUUCAUUUCUUGAUUUCUUUUUUUAGGGGGCCCCAUCUGCCUUUCGAGGGGCGCAGCAGGCGCGGCGGGCGCCCCUCACCCUGCGUCACGCACGCAUCUUCUGCAACCCAACAGCUCCGGGCCCCGCUGCACCCCACAGGCCCUUCCCCCUUGGAGAAGACCCUCCUCAGGAGCCCCUGGCCCGCUGCACCCCCUUUUCUUUCCCACUCCGUACCCCCGGGCCUCAACUGCCCCCUCGCAGCCCCCCAGCUCGCGCCGCGGGCCCUACCCGACCUCCCCACCUUCUGCAUCUGGGCCUUGCAUUCGCUAGCCUCUUCCAGGCCCCUUCUGCUCAAAAUCCCCCUUCCUCCUCCGUAGUCCCACUUUGGGGCACCCAGAUUUAUCCCUUUUUAGGAUCUUCCAGCAAAACUCCAAAUCUCUCCUCCCUUCCUUGACAUGCCCCUCCCCCUCCUUUAAGUAACUUCCUUUAGCGCAAAAAAAGAAAAAAAAUUAGCCCAGUUUUUUUUCAUCCGUUCAGGAUCACUUUCCAGCAAAAUUUUUUUCUUCACACCUAGAGUGCCCCUUUUUGGAAUGUCUUCGCUUAGAACAAACCAACUAAUUCCUUCCAGUUUCUCUCUCGUCUAAUAUUUAUGUUUCCAGUCCUCCUCACCUACCCCCAACUUUCCAGCAAAUAUCCUUAUUUUAUCACCAAUUCUGCCCUAAUUAAGUUUCUCCGGUAAAAUUCUCUAGGUCUCUUCCCACGGGGGAAAAAUAAGGAAAGAAGGAACAAUUAUUUCUUCUUACCAAAAAAACCUUUCCUCCUCACUCAAAUCUCCGCUGUUGAUACUGCUUUCUGCCUUCUUCCAAAAAUUGUUGCUCUUCUCCAUUUUCACAUCUCUGUUCUUGUUUCUUUGGGACCGAAGUCCUGACUGCUUCUUCCUUCCCACCACCUGCUUUCAGGGCAAAAGAAAUUGGGAGUAUCCUGCAUUUACCACUCAGUGUUCCAGGAGGACAUAUCCAGUGGUCUGCUUGUCACCUGAACCCCCUCCCUGUGGGGCCUAAACUGGGUCCUCCUGUUCCCUGGAGAUUCACUAACUUGCUCUUCUGGAAUUAGUUGCCAUCAAGGGCUCUCUCCUCCCUCUCUCCUUACAUGGUUCUGCUUAUCCGGAGAGUAGCUCUUGGCCAAGACCUGGCGGUGGAGAGCCAUGGACCAGUACAGCCUUAGAGACGAGGGUGCCCUCCCAUCAGAAAUGCACCUCCCUUCAUUUUCAGAGAGCCAAGGGCUCAACUGCAGCGACACCCUCAACCGGGAUUUGGGUCCCAACACGCGAGGCUUUCUUUAUGCUGGCCUGAGUGGUCUGGACCCGGACCCCAGCCUCCCAACGCCUGACAUGUCCAGCGAGGUGCUGGAGGACAACUUAGACACCUUGUCCCUGUACUCCGGGAAGGACAGUGAUUCUGUGAAGCUGCUGGAGGAGUACGCAGAUUCAGAGUCUCAGGCAUCCUUACAAGACCUGGGGCUAGGUGUGCUUAAGGCUAAAGAGGCUGACGAAGGAGGAAGGGCCACCUCGGGGAGUGCCAGGAAAGGAAAGCGGCAGCACAGUUCCCCUCAAAACCCACUUCUGGACUGCAGCCUGUGCGGGAAGGUGUUCAGCAGCGCCAGUUCUCUGAGCAAGCACUACCUGACACACAGCCAGGAAAGGAAGCACGUCUGCAAAAUCUGCAGCAAGGCCUUUAAGCGCCAGGACCACCUGACCGGGCACAUGCUCACCCACCAGAAGACAAAGCCCUUCGUGUGCAUCGAGCAGGGCUGCAGCAAGAGCUACUGCGACUACCGCUCUCUGCGCCGGCACUACGAGGUCCAGCACGGCCUGUGCAUCCUGAAGGAAGCCCCCCCGGAGGAAGAGGCCUGCGGGGACUCCCCCCACGCCCACGAGUCGGCCGGCCAGCCGCCCCCCAGCAGCCUGCGGUCCCUGGUGCCCCCAGAGGCCAGGUCCCCCGGCUCCCUCCUGCCCCACCGGGACCUCCUGCGCCGCAUCGUGAGUAGCAUCGUCCACCAGAAGACCCGUUCUCCUGGCCCAGCCCCGGCGGGGGCUUCAGACAGCGAAGGGAGGAACACUGCCUGUCCCUGCCCCGCCUCAUCGGGGUCCUCGUCCUGCACCCCAGCCGGCCCCCACGCGGCCCCAGCAGCGCUGGACACCGAGCUUCCCGAGGAGCCUCGCCUCCCACAGAAAGAGCCGGCCACUGACGUGUUCACAGCCGCUAAUUCCAGGGCCGCCGAGAACGGCGCCCCCGACCCGCCAGAGCCGGAGCCAGAUACCGCGCUGCUCCAGGCCCGGUCCACCGCAGAGUGCUGGCCCGAGGGCGGCUCCGUGCCUGCCUGCCUGCCUCUCUUCCGAGGCCAGACGGUCCCUGCCAGUUCCCAGCCAUCGAGCCACAGCUUCCAGUGGCUCCGGAACCUGCCGGGCUGUCCCAAAAGCAAAGGCAACAACGUGUUUGUUGUCCACAAGCCCUCGGCCGUGCCCUCGCGGGAGGGCUCCGAGUCUGGCCCGGGACCCAGCAGCGGAAGCCCCUCGGAGGAGUCCCCGCCCGGCCCCGGCGGCGGCCUGGAGGAUGCGCUGCCCUUCCCUGCCGCGCUCCUCAGGGCCCCCGCGGAGGCCCCGAGCGACCCCAGGUCGGCCAGCGGGGAAGAUGACCCCUGCGCCCCCAAGAAGGUCAAGGUCGACUGCGACUCCUUCCUGUGCCAGAACCCCGGGGAGCCCGGCCUCCAGGAGGCCCAGAAGGCAGGCGGGCUCCCUGCGGAUGCCUCGCCGCUCUUCCGCCAGCUCUUCCUCAAGUCGCAGGAACCUCUUGUGAGCCACGAGCAGAUGCAGGUGUUCCAGAUGAUAACCAAGUCCCAGCGGAUCUUCUCCCAUGCCCAGGUGGCAGCAGCCUCCUCCCAGCUCCCUGCGCCCGAGGGCAAACCAGCCGCCCUGAGGCCGCUGCAGGGGCCGUGGCCGCAGCAGCCCCCGCCACUGGCUCCUGCUGUGGACUCUCUACACGCCGGCCCUGGAAACCCCGAGGCAGAGGGCUCCCCAGCCCGCAGGAGAAAAACCACACCCGGGGUUCCCAGAGAGGCCUCCCCCGGCAGCACGAGACGAGACGCAAAGGGGGGACUGAAAGUGGCCGCGGUUCCAACGCCCCUUGCAGCGCCGUCUCUGGACCCUUCCAGGAAUCCAGACAUCUCUUCUCUGGCCAAGCAGCUGCGAUCCUCUAAAGGGACCUUGGACCUGGAGGACAUCUUCCCCUCCACAGGCCAACGGCAGACCCAGUUAGGUGGGGAGGAGCCACCAGGAGCCUCGCUGCCAGGGAAGCAGGCCCCAGCCGAGAAUGGCGCGGCUUCAAGGAUCACAAAAGGUGAAAAGGGCCCAGCCUGUUCCCGGGGUGGAGGCUACCGGCUCUUGGGCAACCCCAGGGCCCCGCGAUUCUCCGGCUUCCGGAAAGAGAAGGCGAAGAUGGAUAUGUGCUGUGCGGCUUCUCCGAGCCAGGUAGCCAUGGCCUCCUUCUCAUCGGCCGGGCCCCCGGCAGAUCACUCCAAGUCCAAGCUGACAAUAUUCAGCAGAAUCCAGGGUGGAAACAUCUACAGGCUCCCCCAUCCGGUGAAGGAAGAGAACAUGGCAGGCAGAGGUAACCAGCAAAACGGCAGUCCCACAGACUGGACGAAGCCCAGGAGCACUUUUGUCUGCAAGAACUGCAGCCAGAUGUUUUAUACGGAGAAAGGGCUGAGCAGCCACAUGUGUUUUCACAGCGACCAGUGGCCGUCACCUCGAGGGAAGCAGGAACCGCAGGUGUUUGGCACAGAGUUUUGCAAGCCGCUAAGACAGGUGCUGAGGCCAGAAGGGGACAGGCAUAGUCCCCCAGGAGCCAAGAAGCCCUUGGACCCCACAGCUGCAGCCCCUUUGGUGGUCCCCCAGUCGAUCCCCGUGGUUCCAGUGACCCGACACAUAGGGAGCAUGGCCAUGGGACAAGAGAAAGACGGGGAGGAGCGAGACAGCAAGGAGAGCAGCCAGCAGAGAAAGCGGAAGAAGCGGCCCCCACCCAAGGGGCUGUUCAUCCCUCCUCCACCCUCCACGGCUGGGGAGCCUAGCCCUGCAGGAUGCCACCAGAGCCGCCUGCGGUCGCCCAUGUUCCUGGUGGACUGCCUCCUGAAGGGCUUAUUCCAGUGCUCCCCCUACACACCACCCCCAAUGCUCAGCCCCAUCCGGGAGGGCUCUGGGGUGUACUUCAACACUCUCUGUUCCACGUCCACUCAGGCCAGACCUGACCAGCUCAUCAGCUCCAUGCUCGAUCAAGUGGAUGGGUCCUUUGGCAUCUGUGUGGUGAAGGAUGACACCAAGAUCAGCAUUGAGCCACAUAUCAAUAUAGGAAGCCGGUUUCAGGCAGAGAUCCCGGAACUCCAGGAGAGAUCCCUGGCUGGAAUUGACGAGCAUGUAGCUUCUCUGGUCUGGAAGCCAUGGGGAGAUAUGAUGAUCAACUCAGAGACACAGGAUAGAGUGACCGAGCUCUGCAAUGUGGCAUGCUCCAGCGUGAUGCCAGGAGGGGGCACCAACCUGGAGCUCGCUCUGCACUGCCUGCACGAGGCUCAGGGCAACGUUCAGGUCGCUCUGGAGACUCUCCUGCUCCAAGGGCCCCACAAGCCACGGACACACCUGCUCGCUGACUAUCGCUACACAGGUUCAGACGUCUGGACCCCUAUAGAGAAGAGGCUUUUUAAGAAGGCGUUCUAUGCCCACAAGAAGGACUUCUACUUGAUACACAAGAUGAGACGCUCGCCGGGUGCAGUGGCUCACACCUGUAAUCCCAGCACUUUAGGAGGCUGAGGCAGGUAGAUCACGAGGUCAGGAGUUCGAGACCAGCCUGGCCAAUAAGGUGAAACCCCGUCUCUACUAAAAACACAAAAAAUAGCUGGGCAUGGUGAUGCGCGCCUAUAAUCCCAGCUACUCGGGAGGCUGAGGCAGAGGAAUUGCUUGAACCUGGGAGGUGGAGGUUGCAGUGAAAAAAAAAAAAGAUACUCGCUCUGGAGUACCGUGACACUAUCAUAGCUCACUGCUGGCCGGGUGCAGUGGUUCAGGCCUGUAAUCCCAGCACUUUGGGAGGUCGGGGCAGGCAGAUCACCUGAGGUCAGGAGUUCAAGACCAGCCUGGCCAACAUGGUGAAACCCUGUCUCUACAAAGAUACAAAAAUUAGGUGGGCAUGAUGGAGGGUACCUAUAAUCCCAGCUACUCAGGAGGCUGAGGCAGGAGAAUCACUUGGACCCGGGAGGCGGAGGUUGCAGUGAGCCAAGAUCGUGCCAUUGCACUCCAGCCUGGGCGACAGAGCGAGAUUCUGUCUCAAAAAAAAAAAAAAAAGGCUCACUGCAGCCUUGAACACCUGGGCUCAAGCGAUCAUCUCGCCUCAGCAUCUUAAGUAGCUGGGACCACAGGCAUGCACCACCAUGACUGGCUAAUUUUUAAAAAAUUCUGUAGAGAUGGGGUCUUGCUAUGUUGCCCAGGCUGGUCUCGAACUCCUGACCUCAAGUCGUCCUCCUGCCUCAGCCUCUCAAAGUGCUGGGAUUACAGGCGUGAGCCACCAAGCCCAGCUUCCCUUUUGUUUUUAACAGAAGUUAUUUUUAGUGGGAUCCUUUCUUAGUGGAGGAACGGGAAAAUAAUCCCCUAGGUUCACACUGUGCACUCAAAACCUCCCCUUCUUCUAGAGUGGGUCACUUCCUGCCAAGACUUUAGAGGCUCUGCCUAGCUGUUGUAAUGUCUGUGUGGUAUUCUGCCUGCAGAGAGCAUUCCGAUUUAUUAGCAUGAUGUCACAGUUGGCGUCCCUGGUGCGACCUUUGUGCCCAUCUUCCUUAGGAAAGAAUUCCUGAGCUGGAAUGGCUGCUCAGAGUGUGCAGGCUCAGGUACUGGUGGCUACUAUGUGGCUCCAGUUUGAACACCCUCGUCCCCAGGAAGGAUUUUGUGGUCCUGUGCCUUUGUGAUCCAGACAAAGACGGUAGCUCAGUGCGUUGAGUAUUAUUACAUCUGGAAAAAAAUGAUCAAGUUUGACUGUGGCCGAGCCCCAGGGCUAGAAAAGAGGGUCAAGAGAGAGCCGGAGGAAGUGGAAAGGACAGAGG
This is an RNA transcript of Gorilla gorilla gorilla (western lowland gorilla), 6244 nucleotides long. It is a transcript of the gene named zinc finger protein 541, with no coding region annotated. The record is from RefSeq and is a predicted model, not a curated record. Lineage: Eukaryota; Metazoa; Chordata; Mammalia; Primates; Hominidae. The transcript has 15 exons.